ACCGGCGAUACCCGAAUGGGGAAACCCAGUGUGAUUCGUCACACUAUCAUUAACUGAAUCCAUAGGUUAAUGAGGCGAACCGGGGGAACUGAAACAUCUAAGUACCCCGAGGAAAAGAAAUCAACCGAGAUUCCCCCAGUAGCGGCGAGCGAACGGGGAGGAGCCCAGAGCCUGAAUCAGCAUGUGUGUUAGUGGAAGCGUCUGGAAAGGCGCGCGAUACAGGGUGACAGCCCCGUACACAAAAGCGCAUGUGCUGUGAGCUCGAUGAGUAGGGCGGGACACGUGGUAUCCUGUCUGAAUAUGGGGGGACCAUCCUCCAAGGCUAAAUACUCCUGACUGACCGAUAGUGAACCAGUACCGUGAGGGAAAGGCGAAAAGAACCCCGGCGAGGGGAGUGAAAAAGAACCUGAAACCGUGUACGUACAAGCAGUGGGAGCACAGGUUUACCUGUGUGACUGCGUACCUUUUGUAUAAUGGGUCAGCGACUUAUAUUCUGUAGCAAGGUUAACCGAAUAGGGGAGC
Molecule: ribosomal RNA, 522 nt
Filed under: Salmonella enterica subsp. enterica serovar Ramatgan
Lineage: Bacteria; Pseudomonadati; Pseudomonadota; Gammaproteobacteria; Enterobacterales; Enterobacteriaceae
Description: partial 23S ribosomal RNA
Rfam family: Bacterial large subunit ribosomal RNA
Source: RNAcentral